UGGGGAAUUGUUCGCAAUGGGCGCAAGCCUGACGACGCAACGCCGCGUGGAGGAUGAAGGUCUUCGGAUUGUAAACUCCUGUUGAUCGGGACGAAAAGCUUCGACCUAACACGUCGAGGACUGACGGUACCGGUUGAGGAAGCCACGGCUAACUCUGUGCCAGCAGCCGCGGUAAUACAGAGGUGGCAAGCGUUGUUCGGAAUUACUGGGCGUAAAGGGCGCGUAGGCGGCCUUCUAAGUCGGACGUGAAAGCCCCAGGCUUAACCUGGGAACUGCGUCCGAUACUGGGAGGCUUGGAUUCGGGAGAGGGAUGUGGAAUUCCAGGUGUAGCGGUGAAAUGCGUAGAUAUCUGGAGGAACACCGGUGGCGAAGGCGGCAUCCUGGACCGAGAUCGACGCUGAGGCGCGAAAGCUAGGGGAGCAAACG
Molecule: ribosomal RNA, 426 nt
Filed under: uncultured Acidobacteriota bacterium
Lineage: Bacteria; Pseudomonadati; Acidobacteriota
Description: uncultured Acidobacteria bacterium partial 16S ribosomal RNA
Rfam family: Bacterial small subunit ribosomal RNA
Source: RNAcentral